Molecule: ribosomal RNA, 323 nt
Filed under: uncultured eukaryote
Lineage: Eukaryota
Description: partial 18S ribosomal RNA
Rfam family: Eukaryotic small subunit ribosomal RNA
Source: RNAcentral
CCCUUAGAUGUUCUGGGCAGCACGCGCGCUACAAUGGUCUUCGCAAACGGAUGCAUUCUCGAAGGAGAAUGCCAAUCUUGGAAUCUAUGCCUUGGUCGGGACAGUUGCUUGCAAUUUUUCGACUCGAACCAGGAAUUCCUUGUAAUCGUGAUUCAUCACAUCACGAUGAAUACGUCCCUGCCCUUUGUACACACCGCCCGUCGCUCCUACCGAUUGAAUGUGUUGGUGAGGAGCUCGGAUUGGCAGCAGUUGGUGGUUCGCCACCGGCUAUUGCUGAGAAGUCCUCCAAACCGCCCCAUUUAGAGGAAGGAGAAGUCGUAACA